UAGGGAAUCUUCCACAAUGGACGCAAGUCUGAUGGAGCAACGCCGCGUGAGUGAAGAAGGGUUUCGGCUCGUAAAGCUCUGUUGUUAAAGAAGAACGUGGGUAAGAGUAACUGUUUACCCAGUGACGGUAUUUAACCAGAAAGGAACGGCUAAAUACGCGCCAG
This 164-nucleotide ribosomal RNA is filed under the name uncultured bacterium. RNAcentral describes it as "partial 16S ribosomal RNA". It matches the Rfam family "Bacterial small subunit ribosomal RNA", at positions 355 to 511 of the family's 1533-position model. The record is from RNAcentral.